AGUGGCGCACGGGUGAGUAACACGUGAAUAUCUGCCCUUGAGAUCGGGAUAACAUGGUGAAAACUAUGCUAAUACCGAAUAAGUUCAUAAGAAAAAAGGAGUCUCAAUCUUCGCUUAGGGAUGAGUUCGCGGAACAUUAGCUUGUUGGUGAGAUAAAAGCUCACCAAGGCUACGAUGUUUAGCCGGCCUGAGAGGGUGAUCGGCCACACUGGAACUGAGACACGGUCCAGACUCCUACGGGAGGCAGCAGUGGGGAAUAUUGCGCAAUGGGCGAAAGCCUGACGCAGCAACGCCGUGUGAGCGAUGAAGGCCUUUGGGUCGUAAAGCUCUGUCAAAUGGGAAGAACAUUGACGGUACCAUUAGAGGAAGCCCCGGCUAACUCCGUGCCAGCAGCCGCGGUAAUACGGAGGGGGCAAGCGUUGUUCGGAAUUAUUGGGCGUAAAGAGUAUGUAGGCGGCUAAAUAAGUCAGACGUGCAAGCCCGUGGCUCAACCACGGAAUUGCGUUUGAAACUGUAUAGCUUGAGUACAGGAGAGGAAAGCGGAAUUCCCAGUGUAGCGGUGAAUGCAUUGAUAUUGGGAAGAACAUCUGUGGCGACGCGCUUUCUGGUCUGUUACUGACGCUGAGAUACGAAAGCCAGAGGAGCAACGGGGAUAGAUACCCCCGUAGUUCUGGCUGA
RNAcentral lists this ribosomal RNA (678 nucleotides) under uncultured bacterium. Its description in RNAcentral is "bacterial SSU rRNA". It matches the Rfam family "Bacterial small subunit ribosomal RNA", at positions 94 to 803 of the family's 1533-position model. The record is from RNAcentral.